RNAcentral lists this ribosomal RNA (565 nucleotides) under Salmonella enterica. RNAcentral's name for it is "partial 23S ribosomal RNA". It matches the Rfam family "Bacterial large subunit ribosomal RNA", at positions 2240 to 2804 of the family's 2925-position model. Lineage: Bacteria; Pseudomonadati; Pseudomonadota; Gammaproteobacteria; Enterobacterales; Enterobacteriaceae. The record is from RNAcentral.
CCGGGUUGCGGACAGUGUCUGGUGGGUAGUUUGACUGGGGCGGUCUCCUCCUAAAGAGUAACGGAGGAGCACGAAGGUUGGCUAAUCCUGGUCGGACAUCAGGAGGUUAGUGCAAUGGCAUAAGCCAGCUUGACUGCGAGCGUGACGGCGCGAGCAGGUGCGAAAGCAGGUCAUAGUGAUCCGGUGGUUCUGAAUGGAAGGGCCAUCGCUCAACGGAUAAAAGGUACUCCGGGGAUAACAGGCUGAUACCGCCCAAGAGUUCAUAUCGACGGCGGUGUUUGGCACCUCGAUGUCGGCUCAUCACAUCCUGGGGCUGAAGUAGGUCCCAAGGGUAUGGCUGUUCGCCAUUUAAAGUGGUACGCGAGCUGGGUUUAGAACGUCGUGAGACAGUUCGGUCCCUAUCUGCCGUGGGCGCUGGAGAACUGAGGGGGGCUGCUCCUAGUACGAGAGGACCGGAGUGGACGCAUCACUGGUGUUCGGGUUGUCAUGCCAAUGGCACUGCCCGGUAGCUAAAUGCGGAAGAGAUAAGUGCUGAAAGCAUCUAAGCACGAAACUUGCCCCGAGA